Sphingopyxis sp. Root1497 is the source of this 49-nucleotide non-coding RNA. NCBI's taxonomy places the organism in Bacteria, Pseudomonadati, Pseudomonadota, Alphaproteobacteria, Sphingomonadales, Sphingopyxidaceae. The record is from Rfam.
CCGGGGCGAUGCAACCUCCCGGACAAGCGCAUCCGCGCUCAAGCGUUGC